This 672-nucleotide ribosomal RNA is filed under the name Hyphoderma medioburiense. Its description in RNAcentral is "eukaryotic LSU rRNA". The stretch from base 261 to 414 matches the Rfam family "5.8S ribosomal RNA". The record is from RNAcentral. Lineage: Eukaryota; Fungi; Basidiomycota; Agaricomycetes; Polyporales; Hyphodermataceae.
AGAGGAAGUAAAAGUCGUAACAAGGUUUCCGUAGGUGAACCUGCGGAAGGAUCAUUAAUGAAUUUAAUUGACGGGUUGUCGCUGGCCUUGCUUCAAGGCAUGUGCACGCCUUGAUCAAAUUCACCCACUUUACACCACUGUGCACUUUUCAUGGAUUGGCUUACUUUAAAGGGUAUUUAUUACCUGGGUCUUUCUAUGCAUUUUAUACCAACAUUGUUUGUCUUUGAAUGUCUAUUGCGAAUCUAUAACGCAUUAUAUACAACUUUCAGCAACGGAUCUCUUGGCUCUCGCAUCGAUGAAGAACGCAGCGAAAUGCGAUAAGUAAUGUGAAUUGCAGAAUUCAGUGAAUCAUCGAAUUUUUGAACGCACCUUGCGCUCCUUGGUAUUCCGAGGAGCAUGCCUGUUUGAGUGUCAUGUUAUUCUCAGCCCCCUCAGAUUUUAUCUCGAGGUUGGGCCUGGAUUUGGAGGCUGCUGGAUUUUAUUCAGCUCUUCUUAAAUAAAUUAGUGUGAAUGUUCGCUGAAUAUCGCUCGGUGUGAUAAUUGUCUACACUGUCGAUUUUUCGGUGAAGCUAAUAAAAAUGUUCAUGCUUCGAAUUGUUCUGUUGAAGAACACUCUUAUCGAAUUUGACCUCAAAUCAGGUAGGACUACCCGCUGAACUUAAGCAUAUCAAU